CGCUAGCGGCGGCGUGGUCAGAGUGAGCUUUGGAGAAGCCGUGGUGGCUUCCACGUGAUGGUGGAGGAGGAGGCAGGUCUCAGCGGUUCGUCUGGAGUGCUCUAAAUGACACUGUUUCAUUAUUUUGAUGGCCAAGAAUAUUCCCUCAUGUAUGUAUACAAGAGUUUCUUGAUCCCUUUAUCUGUGGAUGAACAGGUCAUUUGCCAUGAUGUCCUCCAGGUUCAAGAUUAUGGCUCCAAAUGAUGAAAUUUCAUUCUGCUUUACUGGCUGAAAACUAUUUGUGUAUAUCCACCACAGUUACUUUAUCCCUUCACCUGUGGAU
Molecule: non-coding RNA, 322 nt
Organism: Chlorocebus sabaeus (green monkey)
Lineage: Eukaryota; Metazoa; Chordata; Mammalia; Primates; Cercopithecidae
Source: RefSeq, a predicted model, not a curated record